GACGAACGCUGGCGGCGUGCUUAACACAUGCAAGUCGAACGGAAAGGCGCCUUUGUUGCUACUCGAGCGGUGAAGGGGGGAGUAACACGUGAGUAACCAGCCCCUGACUUUGGGACUACGAUAGGUAAGUGAGGCCAAUGCCAGAAAGGAAUCCUUGCUGCAUGGGGGUGGUUGGAAAGUUUGGGACGGUUUGGAUGGACCGGCGGGUUAUCGGCUUGCUGGUGGGGUAGUGGGUUACCGAGGCGGUGUAGGGUAGCCGGCCUGUGGGGGCGACCGGCCACAUUGGCACUGAGGGACGGCCCAGACACCUACGGGAGGCAGCAGGGGGGAAGAUUGCACAAGCGGCGGAAGCUGGAUGCAGAAACGCCGCGGGCGGGAUGACGGUCUUCGGGUUGUAAAACGCUUUCAGCAGGGGCGAAGCUUGUGGUGACGGUACCUGCAGAAGAAGCACCGGCUAACUACGUG
This 465-nucleotide ribosomal RNA is filed under the name uncultured bacterium. RNAcentral's name for it is "partial 16S ribosomal RNA". It matches the Rfam family "Bacterial small subunit ribosomal RNA", at positions 28 to 507 of the family's 1533-position model. The record is from RNAcentral.